This is an RNA transcript of Aphis gossypii (cotton aphid), 1257 nucleotides long. It is a transcript of the gene named small nuclear ribonucleoprotein-associated protein B-like, with no coding region annotated. The transcript is spliced from 7 exons. NCBI's taxonomy places the organism in Eukaryota, Metazoa, Arthropoda, Insecta, Hemiptera, Aphididae. The record is from RefSeq and is a predicted model, not a curated record.
GGCGAGCGCCAGCGCUGUCUAAUCACAUAAUUUUGAAUUUUCUAUAUCUUCAAUCUUGUACUUUGUAGUGUACACAAUACACUGUACACUGAACUAAAUAAUAUGUUUUAGUAAAUACUGUUUAAUAUUUAAACUAUUUAGUAUUUUAGUAUUUAAUUCAGUGGUAGUGUUACGCAUUAGCAGCAAAAAUGCCUGUUACAAAGAAUAACAAGAUGAUGCAGCACAUCAACUAUAGAGUGCGCGUCAUAUUACAAGAUUCUAGAAUGUUUAUCGGCACAUUUAAAGCCUUUGAUAAGCAUAUGAAUUUGAUUUUGGCUGACUGUGAAGAAUUUCGUAGAUUGAAAAGUAAAGCCAAAGUACCCACUAUACCCGCGGAACCAAGAGAAGAAAAGCGUGUUCUUGGUUUUGUCUUAUUACGUGGACAAAAUAUAGUAUCUAUAACUAUUGAAGGACCUCCUCCACCUGAAGAAGGUCUUCCUAGAGUACCACUGCCAGGUGGGGGUGGUCCAGGAUCUAGCCGUGCUGCUGGACGAGGGAUGCCCUCAGUUAUACCAUCAGCAGCUACACCUGGUUUACAAGGACCAGUGAGAGGUGUUGGAGGUCCUUCACCAGCUGCAAUGGCACCCACUAGAGGUGCUCCAGCUCAACCACCAAUAAGAGGUCCACCAAUGAUGGCUCCUCCACCAGGCAUAAUGGCUGGUAUGCCACCAAUGCCUGGUAUGGGUCGAGGUGGACCACCACCAAUGCCAGCCAACAACAUUCGUGGUCCUCCACCUAUGAUGAGAGGUCCUCCAGCUGGCCCAAGAGGAUAUUAGUGUGUAAUACUAAUAUUAUCUACUGAUGAUUUGUUAUUAUAACUAAAUAAAUAAUCAUAUAAUAUUUGACAGUUGUAUUACCAAUUUCAUAAACAAGUGAUGUUCAACCACAUAUUUUAUUUAGUAUUGUAAAUUCUUUUAAUGUAAUAACUACUAAUGAUAUCAUCACAUGAUUCUAUGUAUUACUAUAUAUUAUAUAAUAAUAUGAGAAUGAAAUUGAACAGACCGUUAUCGUUCACAGUGCUCCAUUACUCUUUCAGUCAUGUCCAGUAUACUACAUCCCCACACAAUUACAAUAACUUAGUAAUUUUUAUUUGACUACAAAAAUAUUAAUUAGAAAUAAUUUUUAUGGCAAAACAACUUUGCCAGGUAAUUGUUUUAAUAUACAUUAUUUAUAUUCCAAAUUUUUUUAAUAAAUAAAUGUUUAUAUUUUUUUUUCAUA